Molecule: non-coding RNA, 104 nt
Filed under: Sphingobacterium paucimobilis HER1398
Lineage: Bacteria; Pseudomonadati; Bacteroidota; Sphingobacteriia; Sphingobacteriales; Sphingobacteriaceae
Also listed under: 1 other name
Description: SAM riboswitch aptamer (S box leader)
Rfam family: SAM riboswitch aptamer (S box leader)
About the family: The SAM riboswitch is found upstream of a number of genes which code for proteins involved in methionine or cysteine biosynthesis in Gram-positive bacteria. The SAM riboswitch acts at the level of transcription termination control.
Source: Rfam by way of RNAcentral
CGCUUAUAGAGAAAGGCAGAGGGACUAGACCCGAUGAAGCCUUAGCAACCUGUCCCUUGACAAGGUGCUAAAUUCUAUCCGCCAGCUGGCGGAAAAGAUAAGCC